UACGUAGGUGGCAAGCGUUAUCCGGAUUUACUGGGUGUAAAGGGCGUGUAGGUGGGGACGCAAGUCAGAUGUGAAAACCACGGGCUCAACCUGUGGCCUGCAUUUGAAACUGUGUUUCUUGAGUACUGGAGAGGCAGACGGAAUUCCUAGUGUAGCGGUGAAAUGCGUAGAUAUUAGGAGGAACACCAGUGGCGAAGGCGGCUUGCUGGACUGUAACUGACGUUGAGGCUCGAAAGCGUGGGGAGCAAACAGG
This 253-nucleotide ribosomal RNA is filed under the name uncultured bacterium. RNAcentral's name for it is "partial 16S ribosomal RNA". It matches the Rfam family "Bacterial small subunit ribosomal RNA", at positions 524 to 776 of the family's 1533-position model. The record is from RNAcentral.